Molecule: ribosomal RNA, 414 nt
Filed under: uncultured eukaryote
Lineage: Eukaryota
Description: SSU rRNA
Rfam family: Eukaryotic small subunit ribosomal RNA
Source: RNAcentral
CAAUAGCGUAUAUUAAAGUUGUUGCGGUUAAAAGUUCGUAGUUGGAUUUCUGUGAAGGAUAACCGGUCCGCACUAUGUGCGUGUAUCUGUUUGUCCUUUGCAUCCUCGCGGAAUACGUCACUGUGCUUCACUGCAUGGGGCGGGCUUCGCGACUUUUACUUGAGGAAAUUAGAGUGUUCACGGCAGGCUCACGCCAUGAAUAUAUUAGCAUGGAAUAAUAAUAUAGGACCUUGGUUCUAUUUUGUUGGUUUCUAGGGCUAAGGUAAUGAUUAAUAGGGACAAUUGGGGCAUUCGUAUUAACGCGUCAGAGGUGGAAUUCUUGGAUUGCGUUACGACGAACUACUGCGAAAGCAUUUGCCAAGGAUGUUUUUCAUUGAUCAAGAGCGAAAGUAAGGGGAUCGAAGACGAUCAGAU